UACAGAGGGGGCCAGCGUUAUUCGGAAUUAUUGGGCGUAAAGGGCGCGUAGGCGGCCAUGCGUGUCUUCCGUGAAAUCCCUCGGCUUAACUGAGGACGUGCGGAAGAAACUGCAAGGCUCGAGUCCGGGAGAGGGGGGUGGAAUUCCCAGUGUAGCGGUGAAAUGCGUAGAUAUUGGGAGGAACACCGGCGGCGAAGGCGGCCCCCUGGACCGGUAUUGACGCUGAGGCGCGAAAGCUAGGGGAGCAAACGGG
RNAcentral lists this ribosomal RNA (253 nucleotides) under uncultured bacterium. Its description in RNAcentral is "partial 16S ribosomal RNA". It matches the Rfam family "Bacterial small subunit ribosomal RNA", at positions 524 to 776 of the family's 1533-position model. The record is from RNAcentral.